GAUGAAGAACGUAGCGAAAUGCGAUAAGUAAUGUGAAUUGCAGAAUUCAGUGAAUCAUCGAAUCUUUGAACGCACAUUGCGCCCCUUGGUAUUCCGGGGGGCAUGCCUGUUCGAGCGUCAUUAUAACCCCUCAAGCUCAGCUUGGUGUUGGGGCCUGCCAACUGGCAGCCCUUAAAAUCAGUGGCGGCGCCAUCUGGCUCUAAGCGUAGUAAUUUCUCUCGCUAUAGGGUCCCGGUGGAUGCUGGCCAACAACCCCCAAUUUUCUAUGGUUGACCUCGGAUCAGGUAGGGAUACCCGCUGAACUUAAGCAUAUCAAAAGCGGAGGA
This 326-nucleotide unclassified non-coding RNA is filed under the name soil metagenome. Its description in RNAcentral is "partial contains 5.8S ribosomal RNA, internal transcribed spacer 2, and large subunit ribosomal RNA". The stretch from base 1 to 120 matches the Rfam family "5.8S ribosomal RNA", at positions 35 to 154 of the family's 154-position model. The record is from RNAcentral.